This 380-nucleotide ribosomal RNA is filed under the name uncultured eukaryote. Its description in RNAcentral is "partial 18S ribosomal RNA". It matches the Rfam family "Eukaryotic small subunit ribosomal RNA", at positions 592 to 976 of the family's 1831-position model. The record is from RNAcentral.
CAAUAGCGUAUAUUAAAGUUGUUGCGGUUAAAAAGCUCGUAGUUGGAUUUCUGUUGGGAACGACCGGUCCGCCCAUUGGGUGUGUAUCUGGCUUGUUCUCGGCAUCUUCUUGGUGAACGUUGCUGCACUUGACUGUGUGGAGCGCUACCCAGGACUUUUACUUUGAGGAAAUUAGAGUGUUUCAAGCAGGCAUAUGCCUUGAAUACAUUAGCAUGGAAUAAUGAUAUAGGAUUUCGGUUCUAUUUUGUUGGUUUUUAGAAUUGAAAUAAUGAUUGAUAGGGAUAGUCGGGGGCAUUCGUAUUUAACUGUCAGAGGUGAAAUUCUUGGAUUUGUUAAAGACGGAUUACUGCGAAAGCAUUUGCCAAGGAUGUUUUCAUUGG